RNAcentral lists this ribosomal RNA (429 nucleotides) under Chloroflexota bacterium. RNAcentral describes it as "Chloroflexi bacterium partial 16S ribosomal RNA". It matches the Rfam family "Bacterial small subunit ribosomal RNA", at positions 355 to 776 of the family's 1533-position model. The record is from RNAcentral. Lineage: Bacteria; Bacillati; Chloroflexota.
UGGGGAAUAUUGCACAAUGGGCGCAAGCCUGAUGCAGCCAUGCCGCGUGUAUGAAGAAGGCCUUCGGGUUGUAAAGUACUUUCAGUCGGGAGGAAGGUGGUAAGGUUAAUAACCUUAUCAAUUGACGUUACCGACAGAAGAAGCACCGGCUAACUCCGUGCCAGCAGCCGCGGUAAUACGGAGGGUGCAAGCGUUAAUCGGAAUUACUGGGCGUAAAGCGCACGCAGGCGGUCUGUCAAGUCGGAUGUGAAAUCCCCGGGCUUAACCUGGGAACUGCAUUCGAAACUGGCAGGCUAGAGUCUUGUAGAGGGGGGUAGAAUUCCAGGUGUAGCGGUGAAAUGCGUAGAGAUCUGGAGGAAUACCGGUGGCGAAGGCGGCCCCCUGGACAAAGACUGACGCUCAGGUGCGAAAGCGUGGGAAGCAAACAGG